This 250-nucleotide long non-coding RNA is filed under the name Lathyrus oleraceus (garden pea). RNAcentral's name for it is "Pisum sativum (pea) long non-coding RNA (PSAT_LNC006834)". Lineage: Eukaryota; Viridiplantae; Streptophyta; Magnoliopsida; Fabales; Fabaceae. The record is from RNAcentral.
AAAAACUCAAAUUUGAAAUCAAACUAUAACAAAAAUAAUUCAAAUGUAAAUCUUGUGCAUGACCCAAAUCACAUUAGUUCAAAAAAACAAAAAAAAGAAGAUAAAACUCGACCACUUGGGUAAAGAAUGAGAGCUUGUUAUACAAGAAAGGGCAUUUUAGAAAUUCCAAUCUCAUUCUAUCAAACAAAAGAAUAACCAUUCUCACACACUACAUUUCCUUCAAGUUGUUGUAGUAGUAGUUGUACCUCCA